CCUACGGGAGGCAGCAGUGGGGAAUAUUGCACAAUGGGGGGAACCCUGAUGCAGCGACGCCGCGUGCGGGAUGACGGCCUUCGGGUUGUAAACCGCUUUCAGCAGGGACGAAUCUGACGGUACCUGCAGAAGAAGCGCCGGCUAACUACGUGCCAGCAGCCGCGGUAAUACGUAGGGCGCAAGCGUUGUCCGGAAUUAUUGGGCGUAAAGAGCUCGUAGGCGGCUUGUCGCGUCGGACGUGAAAGCUCGGGGCUUAACCCCGGGUCUGCGUUCGAUACGGGCAGGCUAGAGGCAGGUAGGGGAGAACGGAAUUCCCGGUGUAGCGGUGAAAUGCGCAGAUAUCGGGAGGAACACCGGUGGCGAAGGCGGUUCUCUGGGCCUGUACUGACGCUGAGGAGCGAAAGCGUGGGGAGCGAACAGGAUUAGAUACCCUGGUAGUCCACGCCGUAAACGUUGGGCGCUAGGUGUGGGGACCUUCCACGGUUUCCGCGCCGCAGCUAACGCAUUAAGCGCCCCGCCUGGGGAGUACGGCCGCAAGGCUAAAACUCAAAGGAAUUGACGG
This 562-nucleotide ribosomal RNA is filed under the name uncultured bacterium. RNAcentral describes it as "bacterial SSU rRNA". It matches the Rfam family "Bacterial small subunit ribosomal RNA", at positions 338 to 916 of the family's 1533-position model. The record is from RNAcentral.